Molecule: ribosomal RNA, 2134 nt
Filed under: activated sludge metagenome
Description: bacterial LSU rRNA
Rfam family: Bacterial large subunit ribosomal RNA
Source: RNAcentral
UCAAGCUACAAAGGGCGCACGGUGAAUGCCUUGGCGUCAGGAGCCGAAGAAGGACGUAGCAAUCUGCGAAAAGCCUCGGGGAGCCGAAAGCAGGCUUAGAUCCGGGGGUGUCCGAAUGGGGGAACCCACUUACCGUAAUGGGUAAGUACUCCUACCUGAACACAUAGGGUAGGUAGAGGGAACCCGGGGAACUGAAACAUCUAAGUACCCGGAGGAAAAGAAAGAAUAAUCGAUUUCCUGAGUAGCGGCGAGCGAAACGGAAAGAGCCCAAACCAAUUUAGCUUGCUAAGUUGGGGUUGCGGACCAGUCGUGUGGAGUUACAAAACUUUAUUCUAGUCGAACUACCUGGAAAGGUAGGCCACAGAAGGUGAAAGCCCUGUAGGCGAAAGGAUAAAGACUCCGACUGGGAUCCAGAGUACCACGGGACACGAGGAACCCUGUGGGAAGCAGGGAGGACCACCUCCCAAGGCUAAAUACUACCUGACGACCGAUAGUGAACCAGUACCGUGAGGGAAAGGUGAAAAGAACCCCGGGAGGGGAGUGAAAGAGAACCUGAAACCGUGUGCUUACAAUCAGUCGAAGCACAAUGCUAUUAGCAAGUGUAACGGCGUACUUUUUGUAGAACGGUCCUGCGAGUUACCGUAUCAAGCGAGGUUAAGCAGAAGAUGUGGAGCCGAAGCGAAAGCGAGUCUGAAGAGGGCGCUAGUUUGAUGCGGUAGACCCGAAACCGGGUGAUCUAGUCAUGGCCAGAGUGAAGUUCCGUUAACCCGGGAUGGAGGCUCGAACCACAUUGUCGUUGAAAAGGCAUGGGAUGAGCUGUGGCUAGGGGUGAAAUGCCAAUCGAACUCGGAGAUAGCUGGUUCUCCCCGAAAUAGCUUUAGGGCUAGCCUUGGGAAGAGUCAUACGGAGGUAGAGCACUGAUUGGGCUAGGGGCCUUACCGGGUUACCGAACCCGUUCAAACUCCGAAUGCCGUAUGAUAAGCCCAGGAGUCAGACAAUGGGGGAUAAGCUUCAUUGUCGAGAGGGAAACAGCCCAGACCUUCAGCUAAGGUCCCCAAGUUCGUGCUAAGUGGAAAACGAUGUGGGAUUGCACAGACAACCAGGAUGUUGGCUUAGAAGCAGCCAUUCAUUGAAAGAGUGCGUAAUAGCUCACUGGUCGAGUGGUCCUGCGCGGAAAAUGUAACGGGGCUCAAGCACGACACCGAAGCUAGGGAUUCUCGUGAGUUUCAUCGAGGAUUUCAGUGGUAAAGUUGGAAGGUAUGCGACGCCAUAAGGCGGCGCCAAAAGCCUCAGAACAAGCACAUUGCAGUGCUAAGCUGGAAUCUUGGAUGAAACUCACGGGAGUGGUAGGGGAGCGUUGUGUUCAGCGUUGAAGCAGUACCGGAAGGAGCUGUGGAGCGGACACAAGUGAGAAUGCAGGAAUAAGUAGCGAAAAGACAGGUGAGAAUCCUGUCCGCCGAAAGCCUAAGGUUUCCUGAGGAAGGUUCGUCCGCUCAGGGUAAGCCGGGACCUAAGCCGAGGCCGAAAGGCGUAGGCGAUGGAAGACGGGUUAAAAUUCCCGUGCCACCUAGGUACCGUUUGAGCGAAGGGGUGACACAGAAGGGUAGGCCAGCCGGCUGAUGGAUGCCGGUCCAAGCGAGUAGGGUGUGUGGCAGGCAAAUCCGCCAUACGAAAAGCCCGAGACGUGACGGGGAGCGAAAUAUUAGUAGCGGAACUGGUUGAUCCCACGCUGUCGAGAAAAGCCUCUAGCGAGGUACCGGGUGCCCGUACCGCAAACCGCCACAGGUAGGUGAGGAGAGAAUCCUAAGGCGCGCGAGAGAACCCCUGUUAAGGAACUCGGCAAACUGACCGCGUAACUUCGGGAGAAGCGGUGCCCUGCGUAGCGUGAGGGUAAAACUAUCUGAGCGCGAAGGGGUUGCAAAGAAAUGGCCCAGGCGACUGUUUACCAAAAACACAGGUCCCUGCUAAGUCGAAAGACGACGUAUAGGGGCUGACACCUGCCCAGUGCCGGAAGGUUAAGGGGAAAGGUUAGGUCGAAAGGCCGAAGCUUUGAACUUAAGCCCCGGUAAACGGCGGCCGUAACUAUAACGGUCCUAAGGUAGCGAAAUUCCUUGUCGGGUAAGUUCCGACCUGC